ACCAAUGGUAUCAGUGGUAGGGGAGCGUUCUAAGGACAGUGAAGUCAGACCGGAAGGACUGGUGGAGUGCUUAGAAGUGAGAAUGCCGGUAUGAGUAGCGAAAGACGGGUGAGAAUCCCGUCCACCGAAUGCCUAAGGUUUCCUGAGGAAGGCUCGUCCGCUCAGGGUUAGUCAGGACCUAAGCCGAGGCCGACAGGCGUAGGCGAUGGACAACAGGUUGAUAUUCCUGUACCACCUCUUUAUCGUUUGAGCAAUGGAGGGACGCAGAAGGAUAGAAGAAGCGUGCGAUUGGUUGUGCACGUCCAAGCAGUUAGGCUGAUAAGUAGGCAAAUCCGCUUAUCGUGAAGGCUGAGCUGUGAUGGGGAAGCUCCUUAUGGAGCGAAGUCUUUGAUUCCCCGCUGCCAAGAAAAGCUUCUAGCGAGAUAAAAGGUGCCUGUACCGCAAACCGACACAGGUAGGCGAGGAGAGAAUCCUAAGG
This 478-nucleotide ribosomal RNA is filed under the name Bacillus sp. CD3-1a. Its description in RNAcentral is "partial 23S ribosomal RNA". It matches the Rfam family "Bacterial large subunit ribosomal RNA", at positions 1212 to 1686 of the family's 2925-position model. The record is from RNAcentral. Lineage: Bacteria; Bacillati; Bacillota; Bacilli; Caryophanales; Bacillaceae.